Molecule: RNA transcript, 1564 nt
Organism: Marmota flaviventris (yellow-bellied marmot)
Lineage: Eukaryota; Metazoa; Chordata; Mammalia; Rodentia; Sciuridae
Gene: Znf414
Gene name: zinc finger protein 414
Source: RefSeq, a predicted model, not a curated record
GCCCUUCUCUCGCGAGAGCUGAGAGGCGGAAAAUGGCGCCGACAUGAAUGCGAACCCGCAUUGCCGAGAAAGUAGCCGCCUCCUGAGUUGGAGCCGCCGGAGCCGCAUGAACCAGAGAUCGAGCAGUCGAGGAUGGAGGAGGAACCGUCCGUGCCCAGCCCAGACUUGUUAGCCACUGCAGAGCCCAACUCCAGUGUGACCGACCAGGAGGUGGUGUCCCCAGUUGUGGCUGAGGCAACCACUUCUUCCUCCAUGGAGGAGGAGCCAGACCCUAAUGGGACAGCCACACCCCCAGUUUGGGAACGUGGAGGGUUUGGAGGUACACAGCAGGGUGCCUCCCCAGCCCCAGACAGCUGCCAGACAGGCCCUGGACCCAGCCCUGUUUCGGGGACCAAUGAGGACCUGCGGCCUCCCAGGCGACGCCCACCACCAGGGAAACAAAUACCCUGCUCUAGCCCUGGCUGCUGCCUCAGUUUCCCCAGUGUUCGUGACCUGGCACAGCAUCUUCGUACCCACUGCCCGCCCACACAGUCCCUAGAAGGCAAGCUCUUCCUCUGCUCAGCCCUCAGCUGCACCGAGAGCUUCCCCAGCAUGCAGGAGCUGGUGGCGCACGGCAAGCUGCAUUACAAGCCUAAUCGCUACUUCAAGUGUGAGAACUGCCUCCUUCGCUUCCGCACCCACCGCUCACUCUUCAAGCAUCUGCAUGUUUGUGCAGAGCAUGCUCAGAGCCCAGCCCCACCACCACCCCCUGCCCUGGACAAAGAGCCACCUGCGCCCGAGCGUCCCCUGGAGUCCGACCCUUCUUCUGCGCCGGGCUUGCAAUUUCCGCUGCUCGAGCCCUUCACAACCCCACCCUCUGCCUCCACUGGGCCCUUUCUACCGUACUUGAACCCCGCGCCUUUUGGCCUAAGUCCUCCACGCCUGCGCCCCUUCCUGGCUGCUGCUCCAGGGCCACCAACUUCCAGCACAGCUGUCUGGAAAAAGAGCCAAGGUGCGGGCGGCAGCCCCCGAAGACCUCAGGGUGGCUCCGAUGCGCCCUCAGGGCAUGCGGCCCCGAGCCGCAUCGUGUGGGAGCACACGCGCGGCCGCUACUCGUGCAUGCAGUGCGCCUUCUCCACGGCCUCGCGGCCCGCCAUGACACUGCAUCUGCAGGAUCACCGCACCAGCGGCCCCGCAGCCCCUGCGCCUGGGCCGCCACGCCCCGACGCCCCGGCGGGCACCUGGCUGCACAGCUGCAUAGCAGUGCCAGCUUGGCCAGAGACGACAGGCUCACCCUGAACAGGCUGAGCCGCUCCAGGAAGCUUAACUGCACUGAGAUCAGCCAGAUGCCAGUCCACUGCCAGGCAGCUGUCUGACAACAGCUCUGCCACCUGCAGAUGCUGACCUGGUUAUCCUCAGCUGAGGCUGAGAGAAAAGUCUUCCCCCACACUCACCUGUCCUGGAGACCCAGAAAGGAACCACAUCUGGUCAUCCUUGCCCCCUAAGAGGAGUCCUACUUUAAAUGAGGGCCCAUGUCUGGAAACCGUAACCCAGGAUGAGGAUGCACUGGCACAGAGGCCUUCGA